Molecule: long non-coding RNA, 414 nt
Filed under: Coturnix japonica (Japanese quail)
Lineage: Eukaryota; Metazoa; Chordata; Aves; Galliformes; Phasianidae
Description: lncRNA (ENSCJPG00005004354.1)
Source: RNAcentral
CGGUCAAGCACACAUAAAGGUUAAAAGACCUUUGAAAGAGUAUCCUGUUCAUGCUUAUAAUCUCCUCUUACAACUCUCAAACGCUGACUAAUAGGCUCUCUCAUAUUGCUUUCAGGUAUCAUUGAUCUCUGCAUAUCCCUUUCAAGUUUCUGAAAAGUGCACAGGCAGGAAAAUGAAAGUGUCAGAAAGGAACCCAACUAAAGAGAACCCUGCAAACAGUGUUGUUCAAAUAUUUGUUUUUCUCAUCUUGAGGCCUCCAGGAGGUGUUACAAUGAAAUGCUCCUCAUCACCACCCUGCUCACUGAAGUGAGGAAAGCUGCAGCCAGAGGGAGAAGUGGAGCUGGUUCUCCAAGGAAAGACACCCCACACUGCUAGGCCUACAACUUAGCAAAUAAACAGUGUUACUCACAGGCA